CCCAGCGCUAUGCGCUGGGCUAACAUAUUGCACUCCUUCAGAGCU
RNAcentral lists this small RNA (45 nucleotides) under Hoylesella marshii DSM 16973 = JCM 13450. RNAcentral describes it as "Prevotella marshii DSM 16973 Acido-Lenti-1 RNA". It matches the Rfam family "Acido-Lenti-1 RNA". The record is from Rfam by way of RNAcentral. Lineage: Bacteria; Pseudomonadati; Bacteroidota; Bacteroidia; Bacteroidales; Prevotellaceae.